ACAUUUCCCUGGGUAUCACAGCUCCCCAUAAAGACACUAAUGACAAUAUUUACCACCAUGUGUCUAUAUCUGAUAUAUAUCAUAAAUAGUAAAAUAGUUGCCGUAAUUAAAAUACUUUAGUGUGAUGUUUAUGCAUAAAUAUUUAGAACGUUAAUAUCUGCUUGCUUAACUAUAAUAUACACCAUAUAUACAAGCCUGAAC
RNAcentral lists this long non-coding RNA (201 nucleotides) under Mytilus galloprovincialis (Mediterranean mussel). Lineage: Eukaryota; Metazoa; Mollusca; Bivalvia; Mytilida; Mytilidae. The record is from RNAcentral.